Molecule: long non-coding RNA, 222 nt
Filed under: Helianthus annuus (common sunflower)
Lineage: Eukaryota; Viridiplantae; Streptophyta; Magnoliopsida; Asterales; Asteraceae
Description: sRNA HanXRQr2_Chr09g0392281
Source: RNAcentral
UCUUGUUCUAUAAAUACCUAUGAUGUAAUUGUAGUCUGUGUCAUUCUGUAAACAGUUGUGAGCAUCUAACAAAAGUGAAACCCUAGUUGCAACCUGUGGACGUAGGCUAUGCAGUUAAUAGCGGUCACCUUGACCGAACCACGUAAAUUCUCGUGUUCUUUAUUUUCUGCUAGUGUAUGUGUAUGUGUUUGUUUGUUCCGCUUCUGCUCGAGCCUACUCUGA